GAAAUCCUGGUUACCUAGAUUUCCUUCCUAAGAGAGUGCUUUGUAGAACAUGAACACAUGCUGUGGGUCUCUGAGAGGGGGCUACAGAAUACACCCCUUCCCUCCAUUUUGUGACCACAGAAUCUUUUUUUCCUCCUCUAAGUAUCCCAAGAGACUGUAGAUUCGUGCAGUUGAGAAACACUGAGCUAAAGUAUUCAUCAGAGAAAAGCACUACGUGUGGAAUCAUUUUCACCUUCGAGCCAGGCUUCUGGCUUCAGACACUGGAUCCUCUCAGCCUUUUGUCAUGUGGGUGGGUGGCCCCAUUCCCCAUUUGAAGGUAGAACUGGAUGGAACCGAGAAUGACCAACAGUCCACUCCAGAAGCUCAACACGAGGCACUGGGCCUUUGGGAAGAUAUUUAUUGAGCACCUAUUGGGUGCCAUCAGUUUGCUCAGGAGCUUUGUAGAAGGAGCCCUGUAAGAGAUGCGUAUUCCAGGCGCACAGUCAGAAGCCAGCCAGACAAGCCCAGGAAGGAGUACUACAUUGAUUCAUGACCAGACCUGCCGAUUUCCCACUCAUCCUAAUCAUUCUUCUAAGGAGGGGCUCCAGGCUGCUGGAGAAGCCAGUACCUUGCGCGUUGCAGUUGCCAGAAAGAGGGAAGAAGUCAGUGGCCAAGUAUGCCAGCUCUUAUCACCUACCCAUCUGCUCACAUUUUAUUGGCUAAAGCAAGUCAUGAAGGUAUCUUCACUUCUCGUGAGCAGCAGAGGGCAGGCGGCAGCAUGCAGCCUGCAGAGAGAGCUGGGCUAUUUGUGA
Molecule: long non-coding RNA, 791 nt
Filed under: Sus scrofa (pig)
Lineage: Eukaryota; Metazoa; Chordata; Mammalia; Artiodactyla; Suidae
Description: lncRNA (ENSSSCG00005040493.1)
Source: RNAcentral